This 240-nucleotide ribosomal RNA is filed under the name uncultured archaeon. RNAcentral's name for it is "partial 16S ribosomal RNA". It matches the Rfam family "Archaeal small subunit ribosomal RNA", at positions 761 to 1000 of the family's 1478-position model. The record is from RNAcentral.
UGCGCGUAGGUGUAUCGGUGACCACGAGUCACCGAGGUGCCGAAGGGAAACCGUGAAACGUGCCGCCUGGGAAGUACGGUCGCAAGGCUGAAACUUAAAGGAAUUGGGCGGGGGAGCACCACAACAGGUGGAGCCUGCGGUUUAAUCGGACUCAACGCCGGGAAACUCACCGGAUAAGACAGCUGAAUGAUAGCCGGGCUGAAGACUCUGCUUGACUAGCUGAGAGGAGGUGCAUGGCAA